AAGGAUUUAAGUUAAGCAAACUGUUAGCCUUCAAAGCUGGAAAUAGGAGGUGUUCCUAAGCCUUA
Molecule: transfer RNA, 65 nt
Filed under: Toxeutes arcuatus
Lineage: Eukaryota; Metazoa; Arthropoda; Insecta; Coleoptera; Cerambycidae
Description: tRNA-Trp
Rfam family: tRNA
About the family: Transfer RNA (tRNA) molecules are approximately 80 nucleotides in length. Their secondary structure includes four short double-helical elements and three loops (D, anti-codon, and T loops).
Source: RNAcentral